This 310-nucleotide ribosomal RNA is filed under the name uncultured bacterium. RNAcentral's name for it is "partial 16S ribosomal RNA". It matches the Rfam family "Bacterial small subunit ribosomal RNA", at positions 503 to 807 of the family's 1533-position model. The record is from RNAcentral.
AAGAGACAGCAGCAGCCGCGGGAAUACAGAGGGUGCGAGCGUUAAUCGGAUUUACUGGGCGUAAAGCGUGCGUAGGCGGCUUCUUAAGUCGGAUGUGAAAUCCCUGGGCUCAACCUGAGAAUUGCAGUGGAUACUGGGUCACUAGAGUGUGGUAGAGGAUAGUGGAAUUUCCGGUGUAGCAGUGAAAUGCGUAGAGAUCGGAAGGAACAUCUGUGGCGAAGGCGACUAUCUGGGCCAACACUGACACUGAGGCACGAAAGCGUGGGGAGCAAACAGGAUUAGAUACCCCUGUAGUCCCUGUCUCUUAUAC